Molecule: unclassified non-coding RNA, 290 nt
Filed under: uncultured fungus
Lineage: Eukaryota; Fungi
Description: partial contains small subunit ribosomal RNA, internal transcribed spacer 1, and 5.8S ribosomal RNA
Rfam family: Eukaryotic small subunit ribosomal RNA (bases 1-73)
Source: RNAcentral
GCAAACUUGGUCAUUUAGAGGAAGUAAAAGUCGUAACAAGGUUUCCGUAGGUGAACCUGCGGAAGGAUCAUUACCGAGUUUGGGUCCUCUGGGCCCCCUCUCUAACCCUUGUCUAUUUGUUUCUGUUGCUUUGACGGACCCGUCCUAGUGGACCGCUGGGGCUCAUCCCUAGCCAGUGCCCGUCAAAAGCCCUUCCAACCUCUGUACCUAUGUUAUCUAAGUCUUUGAAUAAUUACGUGAAAACUUUCAACAACGGAUCUCUUGGUUCUGGCAUCGAUGAAGAACGCAGC